AUGCCACCUUCCGUGCACGACACGGAAGGCCUGCCAUUCAUGAAGCAUGGUUGUGUCUUCAGUGCGCACCGCCGGAUGAACGACAUGCUGGGACACGCUAUCCCUGAUUUAUGCCGCUUCAGCUUGGAUGAGUCUCCAUCGUGUGGAACCGGACUAGAAAGCUGCGACAAUGAUUCCCAUUGGCCACCGCUAUGGAUCGUGCCAUCCAUGAAGAACACCUGGGACUGGAACCUGGAGGAGGACAUUAGUACUAGUAGAAUUGAGAUUGAAUGCACUUUCUUCCCCGUCUUCCACUCUUCUUCCUCCUCUCUUCUUCUUCCUCCUCUCUUCCCCAUCGUCGGCCGCACACCAUUUACCCCCGCUCACUGCUCGCCCGCCCGCGCCAUCUUCCCUGCAGACGCAAAUGCGCUGGCUUUCAUGAUUCCAGGACCUGGAAUCAUACCAGCCGAUGGGUGGUGGUUUAUCGCUCGUUUAGCAGACGGCGUACCAUAUAACUGGAAUUACCGAUGCAAGUCGAAGAAGGAUUGGCCGGUGCUGCCGGCUGGCGUCAAGUUCGAUCCCACGGAUCAGGAGCUGAUCGAGCACCUUGAGGCCAAAGUGAGUGCUGACAGCGCGAGAUUUCAGUCUCUCAUCGAUUUGUUCAUACCAACCAUCGACAGCGAGCACGGCAUAUGCUACACCCAAACUGAGAAACUUCCAGGUAUCACACUGAGUGGCCUAAGGAAGCAUUUCUUCCAGCGCAAUUCCAGGGCGUUCAAAAGGGGCACACGGGCAUCAAAAAAGGUUCUGGUGCUGCACACCAACAAGAACUUCGACCAGCAGAGGACCAACUGGGUGAUGCACCAGUACCACCUCGGGGACCUGGAGCAAGAGAAGGAGCGGGAGCUGUUGUACUACCUUGUCGUCCGCAAGUUGGUAUUGUUGUUAAUGAUCUUUUGGUCGAGCAAGUUUCAACUGGGUUGUAGACUGCCCAGGGUUGGUUUUGUUUUUAACAAGCCCAGCCCAUGA
Molecule: ribosomal RNA, 1008 nt
Filed under: Triticum aestivum (bread wheat)
Lineage: Eukaryota; Viridiplantae; Streptophyta; Magnoliopsida; Poales; Poaceae
Description: partial small subunit ribosomal RNA
Source: RNAcentral